GCCGCCAUGGUGAAAUUGGUAGACACGCUGCUCUUAGGAAGCAGUGCUCGAGCAUCAGCAUCUCGGUUCGAAUCCGAGUGGCGGCA
Molecule: transfer RNA, 86 nt
Filed under: Vallisneria denseserrulata x Vallisneria spiralis
Lineage: Eukaryota; Viridiplantae; Streptophyta; Magnoliopsida; Alismatales; Hydrocharitaceae
Description: tRNA-Leu
Rfam family: tRNA
About the family: Transfer RNA (tRNA) molecules are approximately 80 nucleotides in length. Their secondary structure includes four short double-helical elements and three loops (D, anti-codon, and T loops). Further hydrogen bonds mediate the characteristic L-shaped molecular structure. tRNAs have two regions of fundamental functional importance: the anti-codon, which is responsible for specific mRNA codon recognition, and the 3' end, to which the tRNAs corresponding amino acid is attached (by aminoacyl-tRNA synthetases). tRNAs cope with the degeneracy of the genetic code in two manners: having more than one tRNA (with a specific anti-codon) for a particular amino acid; and 'wobble' base-pairing, i.e. permitting non-standard base-pairing at the 3rd anti-codon position.
Source: RNAcentral